GCCGGGAUAGCUCAGUCGGUAGAGCAACGGACUGAAAAUCCGUGUGUCCUUGGUUCAAAUCCUAGUCCCGGCACCA
RNAcentral lists this transfer RNA (76 nucleotides) under Desulfobulbaceae bacterium. Its description in RNAcentral is "tRNA-Phe". It matches the Rfam family "tRNA". Rfam says of the family: Transfer RNA (tRNA) molecules are approximately 80 nucleotides in length. Their secondary structure includes four short double-helical elements and three loops (D, anti-codon, and T loops). Lineage: Bacteria; Pseudomonadati; Thermodesulfobacteriota; Desulfobulbia; Desulfobulbales; Desulfobulbaceae. The record is from RNAcentral.